This 465-nucleotide ribosomal RNA is filed under the name uncultured bacterium. Its description in RNAcentral is "partial 16S ribosomal RNA". It matches the Rfam family "Bacterial small subunit ribosomal RNA", at positions 28 to 507 of the family's 1533-position model. The record is from RNAcentral.
GAUGAACGCUGGCGGCGUGCUUAACACAUGCAAGUCGAACGGAAAGGCUCCUGCUUGCAGGGGUACUCGAGUGGCGAACGGGUGAGUAACACGUGGGUGAUCUGCCCUGCACUUCGGGAUAAGCCUGGGAAACUGGGUCUAAUACCGGAUAGGACCACAUUUUGGAUGGUGUGGUGGAAAGUUUUUCGGUGUGGGAUGAGCUCGCGGCCUAUCAGCUUGUUGGUGGGGUAAUGGCCUACCAAGGCGUCGACGGGUAGCCGGCCUGCGAGGGUGUACGGCCACAUUGGGACUGAGAUACGGCCCAGACUCCUACGGGAGGCAGCAGUGGGGAAUAUUGCACAAUGGGCGCAAGCCUGAUGCAGCGACGCCGCGUGGGGGAUGACGGCCUUCGGGUUGUAAACUCCUUUCGCUAGGGACGAAGAGCAAGUGACGGUACCUGGAGAAGAAGCACCGGCUAACUACGUG